Molecule: non-coding RNA, 1196 nt
Organism: Lolium perenne
Lineage: Eukaryota; Viridiplantae; Streptophyta; Magnoliopsida; Poales; Poaceae
Source: RefSeq, a predicted model, not a curated record
GGUUGUUUUUUUUUGUUCGUGCAUCAUAAGCAUCAUAUGCAUCUUAUCAUGUCACCUUUGUUUUAUAAAAGUUGCAUCAAAUCUUGUUCUUCUGUUCUUGUUGGCUUUCUCCCUCUCUCUUGCUUUUCUAAUCCAAGCCCCAACCUUAAAUCUUCUUAUCCUUCUCCCCUGUGAUGUUCCAAAACUAAAACCCUAUUUAUGGUUUUGCCAAAAUUCUUAUACAAGGGUUAUAUUAAACCUUCCUCUCUCACUCUCUUAUAUUUUUUCUGAAUCCUAUUUUUUGUACCAAAACCUUUGUAAUUUGGAAAGUUGUUUUGUUUGAAAACUUGCAGAUACUUCUAAGUUUUUGUUUACAAACUCCCUCCCUAUUUUCAGAUUCAAAGACAAAAAUAUAAAAGAAAUAAAAGAAACAGUUUUAUAUGAAAGAAAAAGGGGAAAACCUAUCCUAUCUUUUUCUACCCGGAGGCCACCACAGCCCAUGAAGCCCGGCCAGGCUGCUCCUCUGCUUUCCUUCUCCCAGUCUCCCAGCAAGUGAAUGAUGGCACGGAGGAAGCCCCUUCUCCACACGCUCCUCCCACCUGCUCCUCCCCUCCACCCCCUUCAAGCAAACCCUACCCUGCUCCUCCCCCUUGACGCCGCCGCCCCAUCUUCUAUCCCCUCCACAAAAGGCUUCAGGGAAAGACAUCGAGAGAAGUUCGGAAAAUUCAGAACUUUCAGCCACUGAGUUCGCCGGAGAUAGAUCGCCGCCGCGGACCUCGCCGCCGUCGCCCACUUUUUCUAUACCGACGGUCGUCACGCGCCUCUGCUUCCUCUUCAUCGUCUACGUCGUCCUCGAGCUCGAGCACCUCGACAUCUUCGUCUUGGCAUUUGCUUCUUCCCGGAUAGGAUCAUGAAGUGGUGUUGUGAGAUACGACAAGUUCUUCUGCAGCUUUUCACAGGCGAGCCCACCCCUUCACCUAUUUUACUUUUACAUGCUCUUUUGAUCUAUUGCUAUCCUUGUGUUGCGAUUCUGUUGUGUCACGUGUCCUAUCCACCUGUUACCUAUAUGUCCGAGAUACACCUCCUCGCCCUACCUAUUGUUUGUUGUUUGCCAGCUUUGCGAGUCGUAGGCGAGUUUAGGGUCUUGUUGAUAUCUCGAGAUGUUCGGGAUAUCUUGUUGGGAGGUUAUCACAUGCUAUAUCUUUUGUUGGAGAUAA